AAAUUAUUAUGGUAUAGCCUUUAUACAAGCUUAGGUGUAAAACUUCAUGCUGCUAUCUCACGAUCCUGACAUAAUAAAUCUUUAACUAAACUUUAAAAAGAACUAUACCA
RNAcentral lists this non-coding RNA (110 nucleotides) under Eucampia zodiacus. Lineage: Eukaryota; Bacillariophyta; Thalassiosirophyceae; Eucampiales; Eucampiaceae. The record is from RNAcentral.